CCUGAGAAGCAAGGUGCCAGGAAGUACUCAUUUUAGACCCAGCUGCGGGCUUAGUACAGCAGGAAGAAGAGGCUUAAGCUCUUUGCGCUCAAGUACCUCCCAGCUGAGUUGGAAAGAAUGAGAGAUGGGAUAUAAUCAAGACUUAAUGUUUCAUGGGAGCUGGAGACAUGUUUCUCGGGAUCAGUAUUUAUGGACAUUACAGAAGGUGUUUUCUCACCUUGAACAAGUCAUUAGAUUUGGAACUGGAUGCUGGUGCCAAAAGAAUAAGGUCUAAGAAAACAGUUCGCAGACAGUCCUGAGUGCUCCCUCCGCUCUCAGCCACACUCAGUUGGGAUCCAGUGCCUGCCUGUAGUGGUGAUGCUCCUGUUUUCUCAUCUGCUGGCCAGACACAUGGUUUCCAUUGAUAGGCAGCUAAGUUUGCAACCAGUGCUUAAUCAUUUGCGGUGUUACAGGGACAGAAGUAAUGUGGGAAGCUAGAGCCUCAAGUCAACCCAGGGCCUCAUGAGUCAGAAGUUUCAAUCUACCUUGCCACGAAACACCAUAGACAGCUUCAGAGUAUAACUGGGUUGGUGCUAGGGGACCACUCCUGGGGAGUGGGAGGGAGGGAGCCCUUAUGCUACAGCUGGACACAGUGACAUGGGGGUGUCUUCACUCCCCUCCUCUCCAGUCAGGAAUGCAAUGGUUUUGACAGUCACUUCAAAACUUGCUCUCAGGAGUUCCCAUCGUGGCUCCGUGGUUAACGAAUCCGACUAGGAACCAUGAGGUUCAGGGUUCCAUCCCGGGCCUUGCUCAGUAGGUUAAGGAUCCGGCGUUGCCGUGACCUGUGGUGUAGGUUGCAGACAUGGCUCGGAUCCCGCGUUGCUCUGCCGGCCUACGCCACAGCCAGCCUACGCCACAGCCGCAGCAACUGCAUCUACAACCUGCGCCACAGUUCACAGGCAAUGUCAGAUGCUUAACCCACUGAAGGAGGCCAGGAUCAAACCCGCGUCCUCAUGGAUACCAAUCAGGUUCAUUACUGCUGAGCCACAAUGAGAACUCCCCUAUUGUUUAAUUUAAAUAAUGUAGGGACCUACUAAAUUGAAGGUCCAUGAAGGGACCUACUAAACUGAUUUCAAAAUUCAUAAGUGGUAGUGAGCUGCAGGGCCAGACUGAGCUGUGGUUUGGUUUCCUGUACCAGGGCGCCUAGUCAGGGGGCCAUUGGAGACUGAACCUCAACUCUCAUUUCUCUCUCUCUUUUUUUGUUUUGCUUUUUAGGGCUGCACCCACAGCAUUUAGAAGUUCCCAGGCUAAGGGUUGACUCGGAGCUACAGCGGCUGGCCUACGCCACAGCCACAGCAAUGCGGGAUCCAAGCCAUGUCUGUGACCUACACCACAGCUCAGGGCAAUGCCUGAUCCUUAAGCCAUUGAGUGAGGCCAGGGAUCAAACCCGCAUCCUCAUGGAUCCUAGUCAGGUUCGUUAAUUGCUGAGCCAUGAAAGGAACUCCUCAACUCUCAUUUCUCUUGCCAAGCAGUUGCCCAUCUUCGGGCUCAGUCUUCCAGAAGAAUGAGUACCUUUUACAACGUGCACAUGGAACAGCCCAUGUGCCCAAGAUUUGUAUGCAUGGGACUUGUGUGCUCCAUUCAACACCAUUUGUAAGUUAUAAGUAGGACCUGUGUGGCUGGUAGGGUCCUUCCUGUUGGUAGGUACCAUGCACAGGAAAGAGAAGGUGGAAAAUUACAGGUUAGGAGAGCCUAGAUCCAGAGCAAGAAGGGAUGCCUGCACAUGGUUUUGGCACUGGUGAGAGUAAAGUUGAGGGGGUUGUUCUAGCCCCACUGGUAGAUACCAAAAUUGGUGGAUACUCAAGUCCUUAUAUAAAAUGGUAUAAAGUAUUUGCAUAGAGUAUAAGUACAACCUUCUGUGUACUUCAGAUCCCUCCAGAUUACUUAGGGUACCUAAAGUAACAUAAUACUAUGUAAAUAGUUGCUAAUGCAAUGCAAAUGCUAUGUAAAUAGUUGCCAGUGUACAGCAAUUUCACAGUUUGCUUUUUAGAACUUUCUGGAAUUUUUUUCUCAAAUAUCGUCUAUCUGCGAUUGAUUGAAUUUUGGAUGUGAAAUUUCUGGAUAUGAAGGUUCCAACUGUAUAUGUUCCCGGCUUCUUCCUCACGUCCCCUUCCCUCUGUAGUGGAAAGAUCAGGAAGGUGCUGAACCAAGACGAGGAAGAAGGGCCCGUGUAACUUCAACACUGGUCAUGGACUCUUAGAUUUCUCUGAAGGGAGUAGCUGAAUUUCUCUCUGGGAUGAAAAAAUCAGGAAAGAGCAAUAAGGAAAAAGUAAAUGUAAUAAGAAAUGAAAAUGAACAAUAAAUGCAACAUGUUUAUUGAAAACGUUCUCUGUACCAGAAGCUGAAUCAGAUACUUCAUUGUUUAAAUAACUUCUUACACUCACUGUGGUUUACAAUAAAUUCUUUUUAAAAAUGAGAUUUACCCAUCUGCAUGAAUGCCCUCAUUUGAAUUCUAUGAUUUUUCUUCACUUCUAGCUAGUCACUAAGCAUAAAUUUCCUGAAAAUAGAAGAGACUCAACUGCUAUUAUUCAAAUAAUGACCAUUGUGCCAGAAGGGAGUGUCAAGGAGUUAAUUAAAGUUAACAAAACCAUUGCCAGAUUUCCUAGGGUGAGAAAAGUUUUUCUUUUCCCCUGCGUUUUUUAUGUAAAGCAUAGAAGACUAACAGGCAUUUCUUUCAUGUCACUCAGAGUUUCUCAUUCAGCAAAUACUUAUUGAAUAUUCACUGUGUCCUGGACACUGAGUAGGCACCUGGUACAAAGCAGGCCUGAGAAGUCUCUGGCCUUAGGGAGCAGGGUUCAGGGGAAGGGCAGACUUAACUCAUGAGCAAGAAAGGGCCCUGAGACCCCUUUAUGUGGUCAUCAGUAAGGGCCCUACUCAGUGUGUACCAGUUAGGAUUAAGUUUAUCUGCAUGUGAUAGAAAACCUAAACUAACAGUGGCUUAAAGACACAAGUUUUUAUUUUCUCAAGGGCAAGAACUCUUGAUCAGGACUUAUGUGGUAUUACUAUGAUGUUUUCAGGGACUCAGACUAUCCAGCUUUCCACUCCAUCAUCCCUACCUUAUGGCCCUCAUUCACAUGGUUCAUUGUGGCUGCCAGGGCUCCAGCUAUCACAUAGUCAUUCCAGGAGAAUGAGAAGAAGGGCAUACUUUCUCCCUUUAAAGGAAGCUUGGGAAAUAUAGUCUUUAUUCUAGGCAGUCAUGGGCACAGCUAAAUUCAGAAGGUUUACUUUACUAAGGAAGAAGGAGAAACUUUAUACUGAGGUCAGCAACCAGCAGCCUCCCUCUAGGCGUGAGGUGCAAUGGUCUGGGAAAGCUUUGUGAAGGUGGUAGGGUGUGACUCAGGCUUUCAUGACUGGGUAGUAUUUGGAUCAGACUGACUGAAAACCUGUUGACUAUAGACUAGACCCCUGUGCUAUAGCAGAUACGUCUGUGAUAGAGCUUGGGAAGGUCCUGCUCUGGCAGAUUGUCCACUUAGAGAACCCUGACCACCGUCUCAGGAGUUCCAAGAGUCAAGCUGUAGAUUAGCAGGUUUUGAUUAUUAUUGUUAUUUAACAUUUAAGUACAGGAGAUUUUGUAGAUAUAAUGUAGGGACUCACACAUGGGAGUUCUUAGAAUGCGAACUCUGUCCCUUGUUUUCUGUCAUGCCCAGAACACACACCUGGCCCUAUAGAGCAUGGCAAAUAAAGGGGAGGGGAAGGCAAGCUGAAAUCCAGAGAGACCCAGUAUGGGGAGUGCAGUUGGAUGGUCCUAGAGAAAAGCUUGUUCUUCUUCCUAAGUUCCUUGCCUCUGUUUUAUCCAGACCCCAGAGAAAUCGGCAGUUUGGUUUUCUCCUUUUUUCUUCUCCCCUAAGGUUUUGCAGAAUACAGAGCUAGCAGGAUUACCUGGGUUGUUAGGGGUCAUGCUGUCAACAAAACAAGGAUGUCUGUUACCAUUGCCUGUAUUAAAUGUUGUUCUGUAGGCACUAGCUAAUGAACUCGGACAAGCAAGAGGAUGCAUGUGGAAAGCGAGAGGUGGAAUUUCCAUGCUGUGCAUAUGGUAGACUUAUAUCCUAAAUGAUGAACUAUUUAUUAUAAACAACCAGAGAAUACAGUAAGGUGCAUGGGACGUGAAAUGAAUAUACAAAAAUAGCUUUAGAGAAAAAGGACCAGGUAGAAAAUAAAAUGGAAGCAAAGACUCCAUUCACAGCAAGGAUAAGUGAGAAUAAUUUAGGUGAACUAGUUUUGUAAGCUAUUAUAUAUUUUAAGUGGUAUUAUAUAUAUUUAAUUAGUAUAAUACCAAUACUAGAAUAGACAGAAAGAUCAAUAGUAUAGAAUGGAAUCGAGAACUAGACACUGAUAUAUAUAAAUAGAAACUUUAUCUUAAGAUAAAGGUGGCAUUUUAUAUCAGUAAGGAAAAUGAUAGAUUAUUCAAUAAAUAGUUUGGGACAACUGGGUAGCCAUCUGGAAAAACAAAAAUUGGAUCAAUAUCUCACUUUUAGUGCCAACAUAAAUGCCAGAAAGAUACAAAUUUAAAUCUUCAAAGUAGUAAAAGACAGAAGUUUUAAAAAUUGUAUGGUAGCAUCGUCUGCCUAGGUAUAACACAAACCCUGUAAAUCAUAAAUACAAACCGAUAUGUUAAAUUUAAAUUUCAAAAGAGUAAACAAAACCAGGCCUCAUGGAGGUUAUGUCCCUGAUAGCUUCAUGAACC
Molecule: long non-coding RNA, 4723 nt
Filed under: Sus scrofa (pig)
Lineage: Eukaryota; Metazoa; Chordata; Mammalia; Artiodactyla; Suidae
Description: lncRNA (ENSSSCG00065002569.1)
Source: RNAcentral